This 275-nucleotide ribosomal RNA is filed under the name uncultured bacterium. RNAcentral describes it as "partial 16S ribosomal RNA". It matches the Rfam family "Bacterial small subunit ribosomal RNA", at positions 79 to 353 of the family's 1533-position model. The record is from RNAcentral.
CUAAGUUUGAUGGCGACCGGCGCACGGGUGAGUAACACGUAUCCAACCCGCCGAUGACUCGGGGAUAGCCUUUCGAAAGAAAGAUUAAUACCCGAUGGCAUAGUUCUUCCGCAUGGUAGAACUAUUAAAGAAUUUCGGUCAUCGAUGGGGAUGCGUUCCAUUAGGUUGUUGGCGGGGUAACGGCCCACCAAGCCUUCGAUGGAUAGGGGUUCUGAGAGGAAGGUCCCCCACAUUGGAACUGAGACACGGUCCAAACUCCUACGGGAGGCAGCAUG